Molecule: long non-coding RNA, 465 nt
Filed under: Olea europaea (common olive)
Lineage: Eukaryota; Viridiplantae; Streptophyta; Magnoliopsida; Lamiales; Oleaceae
Description: long non-coding RNA (OEUR_LNC014929)
Source: RNAcentral
GUGAAGAUAUGGUUCACCUAACCCCACCACCUAAUGUUGUGAGUUGAUGGGAGUGAGGUUGACACAAUAAGGUCUUCCCUUCCUUUGGCAGAGGCAUGGUCUUUCUUCCUACCCCUUCAUUAUGUACACUUUACCAUUUUCAAAUAAAGGGGGGGCAGCUCACGUUUUUUGGAGGAUUCCAGCAGCAGCAGAAGGUAGAGCUCUCGUUUUAGCAAAAGGGUGGUGGUUCUUCAUUGGAUUUUUCCCCUCUCUCUUGGAAGGUGAUUUGCAAGUCAUGGAGGCUGUUCCUGAGCCUGAAAAACACCCAUAAAUUCGAAGAAGAAGCUGCUGAAACGAAGAAGAAGAAGCUGGACAGAUUUCGGCCAAAGAAGGGGAGUAUUCUUCCGGUUUAUUUUCUUGUUUUUUGCCUUGAAUCUUGUUUGUUGAUUGUUGUUUUGGUUGUUUGAACUCCUAGGAUCCCCAACA